This 465-nucleotide ribosomal RNA is filed under the name uncultured bacterium. RNAcentral's name for it is "partial 16S ribosomal RNA". It matches the Rfam family "Bacterial small subunit ribosomal RNA", at positions 338 to 795 of the family's 1533-position model. The record is from RNAcentral.
CCUACGGGUGGCUGCAGUAGGGAAUCUUCCACAAUGGACGAAAGUCUGAUGGAGCAACGCCGCGUGAGUGAAGAAGGGUUUCGGCUCGUAAAGCUCUGUUGGUAGUGAAGAAAGAUAGAGGUAGUAACUGGCCUUUAUUUGACGGUAAUUACUUAGAAAGUCACGGCUAACUACGUGCCAGCAGCCGCGGUAAUACGUAGGUGGCAAGCGUUGUCCGGAUUUAUUGGGCGUAAAGGGAGUGCAGGCGGUUCGAUAAGUCUGAUGUGAAAGCCGUCGGCUCAACCGGAUAAUUGCAUCAGAAACUGUUGAACUAGAGUACAGGAGAGGAAAGCGGAAUUCCUAGUGUAGCGGUGAAAUGCGUAGAUAUUAGGAAGAACACCAGUGGCGAAGGCGGCUUUCUGGACUGAAACUGACGCUGAGGCACGAAAGCGUGGGGAGCGAACAGGAUUAGAUACCCCUGUAGUC